Molecule: long non-coding RNA, 2416 nt
Filed under: Lupinus angustifolius (narrow-leaved blue lupine)
Lineage: Eukaryota; Viridiplantae; Streptophyta; Magnoliopsida; Fabales; Fabaceae
Description: long non-coding RNA (LANG_LNC001211)
Source: RNAcentral
CUUUCGUAUUUGUCAAUCAACUUUUUUAUUGUUUGUAAUGUGUAUUUCAAAUUAAGUUGAACAUGAAUUAAAAACACUCAAUUAAAUUGAAAGAACAUUUUAUAGUAUUACUAAAAUAAUACUCUGAACAUUAUUGAACAAUAAUAAUAGAAAUUUUCCUAUCAAAAGAAUAAAAAAAGGUUACAACCAUUUGUAACUAUUUACAUUUGAAGCAAAUAUUAAUUGAGUGGUUAUAGCCACUUUUUAUAAUCACAUUAACCUUUAACUUUAAGAGAAAUGUGCAACAUUUUCAGUAAAAGUUGAAGGUCCAAAGAGUUGAAUAAACGAUAUAUUCUUUCACAUGAAAGUUAACAUUUAAGUAAAAGUAUUCAAAUGUAAAAACAAAGUAUCUAGAUACCUUAUAGGAAAAAUUUGAUAAAUAAACUUUUCAAUAAGUAAUUAAAUUAGAUAGAUUAGUUUCUACAAUUAUGGUGCACAAUACUAUAUAAUAUUUAUUUAUCAAACUAAUUCAAUAAAUGAUCUGUUUUCAUAUUGGUUAUCUCCAAAGUACACAAACACCUUAUAUAAAUGUGAAUCACUUAUCCACAAAUUGGAAAUGGAAUCUCUACAUGAUUCAAGUAUUCAGUUAAAUAUAAAUGUCAACCUUCAAUUAUGUAAUUAACUAAUACAAUUGAUUGUGAAUGGUUAAGAGAAACAACUAAAAACAUAGAAAAUGAACUAAUGUAAAACAAAUAAACCAAGAACACCUUAUGUGAUUAAUUUCACAACAUAACAUCAAAUUCUCCAUAACAAAAGUGAGUUGUUAUUCAUUUUUUAUGGUGAGAUUUGAAGUAGAGUUUAACUUUUUUUAGGACACAUUAACUUUUUCAACUCUACAUCAUAUUAUUCAGUCCAACAUGAGAAACAUCAAUCUAACAUUAAAAUAGAAUCCUUCUUCUUCAUUGGAGUAUAUAUCAUAAUCAAAACUUGAACUCCAAACACCAAAUAAAAAGUGGAAAAAAAGAAAAAUAGAAAGAAAAAAAAAAAAAAAAAAGAAAUACCUAAGGCUCGAAGAUAACAUAUUUCACAAUGCCACGUCCACUUAGUUUGCAAAUCCUUCAAUUUACAUAUAACAUUUUAUUCCUAUUCACAUUGGUAGAAGCACAUCUAUAUAGUGUCUGAUUCCUAUGCACAUAGGUAGAAGCACAAUGUAAGUGAAGAUGAAAAAGAUAGUAAGAGUAUCUAGGCAUAAAACUUAACCAAAAGUAAGUAAAUUAUACAUACAUGAGGUAGAAUGCAUAUAAAUACAAUAUUUAGUGCAUAUAUGACAUUUAUUAAUACAUCUCAAAAACAGGUUGAAAGAUUGAAUGAGGGAGAAUUAGAUGAAAGGAGUAGAUGUUAUGAAUAAUAUGGAGGCUUAACUUUUGACAUGUUGUCUGCAAUCCAACCACAUUCUCUGCACAAUGUCAAACUGUUUCCAUCAAUGUUUUAUAUGAUGUAGAACUGUCAGGGAAAUUACCGGUAGUUAAAAUGGAGAGUACUUACAUGUAAGAUUCCUAUAAGUUUAAAUUAAGAUUGUGGAAAUAAGAAAAGAUAGAAAUUCUUAAACAAAUAAUUUCUAACGUGAACCUUAAAAAUUGAAUCAAUGUGCUUGGAAUAGAGACAUGCAUUGUAUUAUGUCACCUUAUUAUUAAUGACUGCAACAUUAGAUUGAGUUGAUAAUCAUAUGAAUUGUCUAAAUGGUGAUGAAAGAAUCUCGUUCAAAGUUGAAAUUAAAUUAGUUAAUAAAUAUGAACAUAGAGUUUAGAAGAAAAAUCAUGUUUGUUUGAUUGAAACAUUUCAUCAAAUAGGUUUUGCUCAUAACUAUGAAUGCAAAAUAGAUGAUUAUAAAAAAUUGGGGAAACAAAGAGGUACCAUAUUGUAGCAAAGAUGUUUUUCCAAAUCCAGGUAUUUCAGCAUCAAGUAGAAAUAAAAAUUCAAAUAGAUCUUUAUACUCUUAAGAGUGUGAAUGAAAGUGGAAAUGGAAAAGGGAAUGAUUUAAAGACAAUAUGAACAUAAAAAUUGAUUUUUUACCUAUCUUUUUGCAUAACCAAUUUUCAUCCGUGAUUAACUUCAGAUGGUGUCUUUGCCACAAUUGACAAUGCAUGUGAUCCAUAUUACAAUGUGAAAGGAAAUGUAUCGGUGAUGAAUGGUUAAUGUCAGGAAGAGUGUCGUGAUGGAAUUACAUACACCUAUUAGUAGAAAAUUAUCCCCUUAAUAACAACAGAGAGAUAAAGCGAACCAGAAUAAGGUAAGGUGUAAUUAAGGGGUAAGAAGAAGAACCUAGGAAAAAUGAAAAGAGAAUUGAGUGUGAAAUUGGGUAAAAAGAGUAACAGAUGGUUUGAGAUUUGGGUGUGGGAGAUAAUGUGGAAGUUACUUGAGAGAUGGUCAAAUUUGG